CAGUCGCCGCGGGAACACCGAGGUCUCAAGCGUUGUUCGGAUUCAUUGGGCGUAAAGGGUGCGUAGGUGGCGGUGUAAGUCUAACGUGAAAUCUCGGGGCUCAACCUCGAAAUUGCGUCGGAUACUGCAUUGCUAGAGGAUUGUAGAGGAGAGUGGAAUUCAUGGUGUAGCAGUGAAAUGCGUAGAUAUCAUGAGGAAGACCAGUUGCGAAGGCGACUCUCUGGGCAAUUCCUGACACUGAGGCACGAAGGCUAGGGGAGCAAACGGGAUUAGAUACCCCCGUAGUCCCUGUCUCUUAUAA
This 301-nucleotide ribosomal RNA is filed under the name uncultured bacterium. Its description in RNAcentral is "partial 16S ribosomal RNA". It matches the Rfam family "Bacterial small subunit ribosomal RNA", at positions 509 to 809 of the family's 1533-position model. The record is from RNAcentral.